CCCCGCGGCUGGGCAUGCGCGGAGGGCCCGGCCGACGCCGGGCGAGGACUCCGAAGUCAACAAGGCUGGGGACGCCCCCCGGCUGGCUCCGCCCCCUGCUGGAUGGCUCCGCCCCAACCCAAGCAACGCGAGGUCUCGACUGCGCGGGGCCACUGCGGAGGGAGGAGAUCCCGCGAGAGUUAGCCCUCCCUCCCCCCACUCCCAGGUGUCCGCCUCCUUCCCCUGGAGCGACCAGUUGAAUGGUGCUGGUGGCUCUGCUGCUGGUCUCGGCCGUGCGCCUGGGCAAGCUUUCCCGCGUAUCGGGGCGUUUGGAAGUGCUUUCUGGACGCGGAGGCGGCCCCGCGGGGUAACCCUACAAUGGCGUGUGCAGAGAGUGCUCACGGGCUCCGCCGAAGUGCCCAGGUGUGGCCUCCUAGGGGCCAGAAUGGUCCCCCGCGGCCGCCGUCGGCGUCCCCACUCCCCCUGCACGGCGCAGCCUCGCCUCGGGAGGGAGGGGGCCCGCGCUCGGGCUGAGCUGCGCAUGCGUGCGACGCCAGGGGCCUCGUGCCCAGCGGGGUCCUCGUCCUCGUCCUGCCGGGCGGCCGCGGCCGGUCCCAGAGGGGAGCUUGCUGGGAAAGGACGCGAGGUGGAGAAAAGAAGAACCGGGCUGGCCGGGCGCGGUGGGAAAGCGUUGUCGAUGCUGAAGUGCCCAAUGGUCCUUCCAGGCUCUUGUUGCCCUGAUCAAAGAACUGGAUGAAACAACUGAUGAAGACAAAAGUUCAAUGUUUAUUGAUAGUAAAAGGAAGAAACAAGAAGUGAAAAAGUGAAAGAGGAGAGAAAAGAAGUAGAAGUGAACCCUGAAGAAAAAAAGAAAAUAUUCUCUAUGUGAAGAGCAGGAUACUGCAAGAGCAAGCAGAUAGGAGUGAUGAGGCCAAUGGUGGCCAGCUUUUAGAUGUUCCUUCUGAUAUCAGAUCCAGGUCAUAAGAAGCAGUUCUGUGCAUGCAUCCCAGCUGUGAUUUAACAGGACACGCUCAGCUGUCCAGCCAGCUUGCCGUGCCCUAAUCUCUUGCCUCAAUUAUUUUAGAAUGUACUCCUAUUUUCAAGAAGAAAAAUUUACUGUGAGACAGCAUGCAGUGCUAUGUGGGCAGCAGUGUGCACUGUGUCUCUUGAUUGCAUAAAGAGACCAUAUGGCCAGUGUCAUGGCUCGGUGUGUAAACACAACACUUGGGAGACUGAGGCAGGAGGAUUUUGAGUUCAAGGUGAGCCUGUGCUACACAAUGAGACCUUAUCCCAAAAUGAGGCCAUGUGAAGUGAUUGACCUACUCUAUCUAGGACUGUAUAAAUCCUAUGCACUCUAUGAUGUUCACAGAUAUUCACAAUGUUUAGAAUGUGUUUCCCUUGAUAAGUGACUCAGAACUAUAUAUAACAGUAUGUAGUUAAUAUAUAUAUAUAUUACAUAAAAUAUAGCAUAUAUAUGUGACAAUAUAUACUUCAUUAAUAUUAUUAAAUGAAAACUACAGGAAGCCAAUAUUUUAGACUAAGCUCCUGCACUUGGGCCAAUAGCCCAGAAAGAAAAUCAAACUGAGGUCACUCAUGCUAAAAAUCAAACCAAAACUAAGUUGUUAUUUGACAUUCCAAGAAAUCAGAAGAGAAAGAAAAACAGCCAAAAUUUCCAAACAGGCCAGUUUCAAUUGGCACAACAAUAACAUUUCACAUUUCAAAUUCUUUCAAAGAAAGUAACAUGAAAUGACCUAAUGUUAAGUAGGUUUUUCCCUAUUGUUCUACUUUCCUGUCUCCUUCUUAUAAGAAAAGUAACUUUGAAAUAAUGUCUUUUUUUUUUUUUUUUUUUUCAGUACUGGAGAUUGAACCCAGGGCCUUCACCCUGAGCUAUGUCCCCAGCACUUUUUUAAAAAAAAACUUAUUUUGAGACAGGUCUCACUAAAUCACUAAGCUGCCUAGUUUGGGCUGGAAGUGGUAUCUUCCUGCCUCAGCAUCCCAGAGUGUUGCUAUUAUGAGCAUGCUCCACCAGGCCCAGUAACCAUCUCUCUUUCUGUCUUUUGUUUCUUCUCCUUUCAUCAUUUCUCUGUCUAUACAUGAAACCCUUCUGGGCACCCUGUUAGAAGACAUUUUAUUUUAUAGAAUGGAGUGUUGGGUGACACUAGAAUUAUUUUCUCUUUUACUUUAUGUUAUUAAUACAUGUUUGCAGUACAUGCAAUUUACAAUCUUGGGGAGUUGGCAUCUGUACACAAUACAACUUGCUUCUUUGUUUAAUCCUCCCUCUUCACACCUUCCUCCUCUAGCUCACCUUUUCUUAGUUUCACUCUUUUUUCAGGGGGACCUGGAAUUGAACUCAGGACCUUGCACUUGCCAGGCAGGUGCUGUGCCACUGAGCUAUAUAUCCCUGGCCCCUUAUUUUCACUCUUAAUGAUAUUAUUAGCUCAUGUCUAUGACAUACACUAUCCACAUUAGUUAAAGUUAUUAAGAACUCGUACAAAGGUUACUUCUGUGGCAGAAUUUGUUGGGAUUUUGAUUGCAGUUCCCAUAGGAAUUUAUUGCUGUUGGUACCUUUUAAACUUUAAAAGCAAACAGCUGAUGUUGAAAAUAUUGAUGUUUAUUCUACACACUCAAAACAUAUAAAAAUACUUUAUUUUAUUGAUAUAUAUGCUCCUGUUAAGUACAUAUUAUAUAACCAGAACUUUGUCACAAAACAAGAAGACCAGUGAGAUGUCAAGUAUGUCCUAUCAAAAGGGACAAGAAAGCAAAUGCAUGUGCUAUCAGUGUAAGUGAUAUAUGUGUAUGGAACACGCUGCUUUUGUGUAUGAAAAUGACGUCAGGUGUCUGUGGUGGAUUAACUAACGCUCAGCUUCUAACCCCGCUGAACUGAAUCAGGGUGGUGCUGGAUGUGGAAGGACUGUUGCCAGCAUCAUAAAAACAGUACUGGAGGGGAAGAUGGUGCGUUAUUGAUCCUCCUGGAGAAGCUCGUCAUGCUGGUUGAUGAAACAGAGGAGAACAUGGUUCUUGAGAAGAAACAGGACAUGAAAAAUGACCUUAGUCCUCUCACCAGAAGCGGGGAGUGCAUCUGAAGUGCAGGAGAUCCCUUGGGGCAUGUCCUAGUGUUGCCAGGACCUGCUGCUAAAAGUCAAUGGGAAGCAAGUGUUGUGAUUGUAAUCACUCUCUUAAUAUGGUUCUAAUGUAGUUUUUAGAAGUAUGUUUGUAAUAAGGUCAUAGCCAAAGUAUUGACUACAUACUUGAAUUUUGAUCAUCCUUUGAAUAUUUUGCUUUUGGUGAGGGAAUAAGUGUGAUAAGAGUUGUAUAUAUGUAAUUGUUAUAUUAAUGUUAAAUCUGAAUAGACCAAGACAUGUUAACUUUUCUUAAAUCUGCCACUGGAGACCGGUUUAAGGAAAUGUGUUUGGUUAUCAAGUUGACCAGGGGUGGACUGCGGUAGAUUAACUAAUAGUCAACUUGUAACGCCCAGCUGAAUUAAAUCAGUGUGGUGCUGGGUGUGCAAGGCCCACCUGAGGAUUAUUACCAAUAGCAUAAAAGAGAACUGGCGGGGAAGAUGAUGUGUUGUCGAUCCUCCUGGAGAAACAUGUCACUUCCGACUUUCCUGAUAUGAACUCCAUCAGAGGAGCUUGGGUGCUCACUGUCACUGAGGAUUCUGUGGCCCUCUUUGGUGGAGCUCUGGUCUUUACCUUGAGCAUCACUUCCUGGCUCUGGUGCAGAUCCCUCAGCCUGCUGGCCCAGAUCCUUCAUCCUGCUGGCACAGAUUUUCUAGCUUUCACCACUGACCUUUGGUCUUAGUGCAGAUCCUUGAUACAGACUUGCAUGGGACAUUGUCAUGGGCUCUAGGCCUCCAGCUGGAUUCAAGGAGGACUCUGCCAUGGGACCCAGGCCCUCAGCUGGAGUCUUUGGGUCUCUAGUGUGUGGACAGAUCUCCCAUACUCUUGCAUUUGGCUCUUUGGGAGAAUAUUAUAAAAUAAUCUUAUAAACUAUAUGUCCUUUAUUAAAUCUUUUCCCUUGUAAACUGACUACAACAGUGUCAUAAUUGAAGCAAUCAUUAUUUUUGGAGUAGAGUUUCAUUUGUAUUUUCAUUGUAGUGCAUAUAGGAAUUUAUUUCUGUUGUUAUUUUUUAGACUUAGUAAACAAAAAAGUUGAUGUUGAAAAAUUUGAUGCUAAUUUGAAACAAGAAUAUUAAUUCAAUACCUCAUUUUAUUGAUAUCUUUCCUGUUAUGUACAUAUUGUUUAAUAAAACUCAUACAUUUAAAAUUAGUAAUUCAUCAAUAGAAAUACUUCCAAAAAAUAAGCAAGUGUGGGCAUUAUGCUCCCAACCUGAUAUUCUCUUUUUUAUAAAAGUUAACAUGGCAAGCCACAAAUGAACAGCAGGAGUCCCUAUGUCCCGCAGGCACUGUGACUAGGAGCUGCACCUGGCUGCUGUUGUGGUAUAUUACAAUUUUACAUUGCAAAAGCACGGGAUGGGUGCAUUUUACCCCCCAUGAUGCCCCAUCAUACAUACCCUAAAUAUGUAAUGCAGACCAUUAUGUGAGCAUAACAUACCUGUUGACACUCCUGUACAGGUGCCUACACCUUGCUGUUCAUUGUACCAAGUAGGUUAACACAAAGAUCACUUCCUGUACCCCCAUCCUCCACAGCCACUGACAAGCACAGGUGGCUACAUUAUGAGAAAAUAAAAAUUUUUGGUAGAAAAAUACGGUAUGGGAUUGAGAAACCCAAUGUUGCAAGUGUUGGGGAGUAAAUGUUCUAAGUCUCUAAAUAAUGUAAAAUGAUAUGAUAGUAGUCUACAGUUAGACCGUGUUAGUCUCAUGCAUCUGUAGACAAACUUCAGCCGGUGGUGAACUAAGACAAUUUUGAAGGCAAAUGUAAGCAUGUGCUCUAUUGUCUAGUUAGUUUAAAGCAUCAAUCACCUGGCUAUGCUGCAAAUUAUACAUGGAUGAGGUAAAAAACAAUUAAAACUUUAAAAGCAAAAGUAGAAUAAAGUGAGUAACUUCACAGACAUGGGGAUAUAUUGUGGGCUAGCUAAUUUCCCAGAUAGCCACAGACUGUACACAUCUGAAAUGAAACAUUCAGUAUUUAACUAAAAUAUCUGUAUUCUUCCCAGACAAUCAUACUUUAAAACAAAAAUUUGUAACUUCUAAACUCUUUUGGGUACAUGUUUGCAAUACAAGAAAGAUUUUGUCACUUUUAAAGGACGACUGAUUUAAUUCCUUUAAAAUACAUCAGUG
Molecule: long non-coding RNA, 5219 nt
Filed under: Chinchilla lanigera (long-tailed chinchilla)
Lineage: Eukaryota; Metazoa; Chordata; Mammalia; Rodentia; Chinchillidae
Description: lncRNA (ENSCLAG00000028512.1)
Source: RNAcentral